This 234-nucleotide ribosomal RNA is filed under the name uncultured bacterium. Its description in RNAcentral is "partial 16S ribosomal RNA". It matches the Rfam family "Bacterial small subunit ribosomal RNA", at positions 117 to 334 of the family's 1533-position model. The record is from RNAcentral.
GUAGGUAAAUCUACCUUCGGGUGGGGGAAUAACCCAGGGAAACUUGGGCUAACACCGCAUAAUGCAGCGGCACCACAUGGUGACAGUUGUUAAAGCGGGGGAUUUUAGGACCUCGCGCCUGAAGAGGAGCCUGCGGCAGAUUAGCUUGUUGGUAAGGUAACGGCUUACCAAGGCGACGAUCUGUAGCCGGCCUGAGAGGGCGGUCGGCCACACUGACACUGACAUACGGGUCAG